UGGGGAAUAUUCCGCAAUGGACGAAAGUCUGACGGAGCAACGCCGCGUGAGUGAUGAAGGUUUUCGGACUGUAAAGCUCUGUUGUUUAGGACGAAAGUGCCUGUUGCGAACAGUUACAGGUAUUGACGGUACUAAACGAGGAAGCCACGGCUAACUACGUGCCAGCAGCCGCGGUAAUACGUAGGUGGCAAGCGUUGUCCGGAAUUAUUGGGCGUAAAGAGCAUGUAGGCGGAGAUUUAAGUCUGUUGUGAAAAUGCGGGGCUCAACCCCGUAUUGCGAUGGAAACUGAAUUUCUUGAGUGCAGGAGAGGAAAGGGGAAUUCCCAGUGUUGCGGUGAAAUGCGUAGAUAUUGGGAGGAACACCAGUGGCGAAGGCGCCUUUCUGGACUGUGUCUGACGCUGAGAUGCGAAAGCCAGGGUAGCGAACG
Molecule: ribosomal RNA, 427 nt
Filed under: uncultured bacterium
Lineage: Bacteria
Description: bacterial SSU rRNA
Rfam family: Bacterial small subunit ribosomal RNA
Source: RNAcentral